This 508-nucleotide ribosomal RNA is filed under the name uncultured bacterium. RNAcentral describes it as "partial 16S ribosomal RNA". It matches the Rfam family "Bacterial small subunit ribosomal RNA", at positions 28 to 523 of the family's 1533-position model. The record is from RNAcentral.
GAUGAACGCUAGCGGCAGGCUUAAUACAUGCAAGUCGAGGGGCAGCAGGUCCCGCAGCAAUGCGGGAUGCUGGCGACCGGCAAACGGGUGCGGAACACGUACAGAACCUUCCUUUAAGUGGGGAAUAGCCCAGGGAAACCCGGAUUAAUACCCCGUAACAUAAUGAAGUGGCAUCACUUUAUUAUUAUAGCAGCAAUGCGCUUGAAGAUGGCUGUGCGGCUGAUUAGGUAGUUGGCGGGGUAACGGCCCACCAAGCCUACGAUCAGUAACUGGUGUGAGAGCACGACCAGUCACACGGGCACUGAGACACGGGCCCGACUCCUACGGGAGGCAGCAGUAAGGAAUAUUGGGCAAUGGACGCAAGUCUGACCCAGCCAUGCCGCGUGGAGGAUGAAGGUCCUCUGGAUUGUAAACUUCUUUUAUCUGGGAAGAAAUCUAUUUUUUCUAAAGUAGUUGACGGUACCAGAUGAAUAAGCACCGGCUAACUCCGUGCCAGCAGCCGCAGUAA